UCGGGAUGUAACAAAUCCAGUGGUCGACUUUAUAUCUACACAGCGCACGACUUUGUAUCUCAAUUGCUUGAUUUUAAAUCUUUAGCAGUGGAUGGAUUUGAAAUCUGCAGCGCUGGAAUUAAAAUUAAUGGCUCUGGAUUUUUUUUUAAUCUCCAGCGCUUGAUUUCAAAAACCACUCUCAGUAGGAAGCAAUCCCAAAAUUAUUGGGAUCGAAAUUAAAUACCAUGUUUAAAGUUGAUAAGGGAGGUUUUUUUUU
Molecule: long non-coding RNA, 256 nt
Filed under: Mytilus galloprovincialis (Mediterranean mussel)
Lineage: Eukaryota; Metazoa; Mollusca; Bivalvia; Mytilida; Mytilidae
Source: RNAcentral